Molecule: ribosomal RNA, 526 nt
Filed under: uncultured bacterium
Lineage: Bacteria
Description: bacterial SSU rRNA
Rfam family: Bacterial small subunit ribosomal RNA
Source: RNAcentral
GUCCGGACGACUUCGAGAGAUCGAUUUCUUCCCUUCGGGGACUGGAACACAGGUGCUGCAUGGCUGUCGUCAGCUCGUGUCGUGAGAUGUUGGGUUAAGUCCCGCAACGAGCGCAACCCUCGCCUUUAGUUACCAUCAUUUAGUUGGGUACUCUAAAGGAACCGCCGGUGAUAAGCCGGAGGAAGGUGGGGAUGACGUCAAGUCCUCAUGGCCCUUACGCGCUGGGCUACACACGUGCUACAAUGGCAGGUACAGUGGGCAGCAAUCCCGCGAGGGUGAGCUAAUCUCCAAAAACCUGUCUCAGUUCGGAUUGUUCUCUGCAACUCGAGAGCAUGAAGGCGGAAUCGCUAGUAAUCGCGGAUCAGCAUGCCGCGGUGAAUACGUUCCCAGGCCUUGUACACACCGCCCGUCACACCAUGGGAGUUGGAUUCACCCGAAGGCGUUGCGCCAACCCAGCAAUGGGAAGCAGGCGACCACGGUGGGUUCAGCGACUGGGGUGAAGUCGUAACAAGGUAGGCGUAGACGU